Molecule: long non-coding RNA, 288 nt
Filed under: Chinchilla lanigera (long-tailed chinchilla)
Lineage: Eukaryota; Metazoa; Chordata; Mammalia; Rodentia; Chinchillidae
Description: lncRNA (ENSCLAG00000026696.1)
Source: RNAcentral
CGCUGGGUCUCUAACUCGGCCUCCGCAAAGCCGCCGGGCUGGCGUCCGCGGCGGUGGCGGCCGAGGGCCGACUAGAGCCGGGCCCUGGAGGCCGGGGAGGCUGCGCGGCUGGCGGCGCCCCGAGAAGUCGCGAACCGCUCGGUUUCAACGGGAACUUUGCAGGCUCUUGGAGCCCGGCCAGGGGCGACUCGGCGCUGCGCUGAGGCCAGCAGCGGCAGACUACCCUCCCUUUGUGAGUGAGGGGGUCCCACGCUCCAGGAAACGAAAUGACUGCGGACCAAGUAAUAA